This 497-nucleotide ribosomal RNA is filed under the name uncultured bacterium. Its description in RNAcentral is "partial 16S ribosomal RNA". It matches the Rfam family "Bacterial small subunit ribosomal RNA", at positions 28 to 507 of the family's 1533-position model. The record is from RNAcentral.
GAUGAACGCUGGCGGCGUGCCUAAUACAUGCAAGUCGAGCGAACGGACGAGAAGCUUGCUCUUCUGAUGUUAGCGGCGGACGGGUGAGUAACACGUGGAUAACCUACCUAUAAGACUGGGAUAACUUCGGGAAACCGGAGCUAAUACCGGAUAAUAUUUUGAACCGCAUGGUUCAAAAGUGAAAGACGGUCUUGCUGUCACUUAUAGAUGGAUCCGCGCUGCAUUAGCUAGUUGGUAAGGUAACGGCUUACCAAGGCAACGAUGCAUAGCCGACCUGAGAGGGUGAUCGGCCACACUGGAACUGAGACACGGUCCAGACUCCUACGGGAGGCCGCAGUAGGGAAUCUUACGCAAUGGGCGAAAGCCUGACGGAGCAACGCCGCGUGAGUGAUGAAGGUCUUCGGAUCGUAAAGCUCUGUUAUUAGGGAAGAACAUAUGUGUAAGUAACUGUGCACAUCUUGACGGUACCUAAUCAGAAAGCCACGGCUAACUACGUG